AUUGAACGCUGGCGGCAGGCCUAACACAUGCAAGUCGAACGGUAACAGGAAGAAGCUUGCUUCUUUGCUGACGAGUGGCGGACGGGUGAGUAAUGUCUGGGAAACUGCCUGAUGGAGGGGGAUAACUACUGGAAACGGUAGCUAAUACCGCAUAAUGUCGCAAGACCAAAGAGGGGGACCUUCGGGCCCCUUGCCAUCGGAUGUGCCCAGAUGGGAUUAGCUAGUUGGUGGGGUAACGGCUCACCUAGGCGACGAUCCCUAGCUGGUCUGAGAGGAUGACCAGCCACACUGGAACUGAGACACGGUCCAGACUCCUACGGGAGGCAGCAGUGGGGAAUAUUGCACAAUGGGCGCAAGCCUGAUGCAGCUAUGCCGCGUGUAUGAAGAAGGCCUUCGGGUUGUAAAGUACUUUUAUCGGGGAGGAAGGGAGUAAAGUUAAUACCUUUGCUCAUUGACGUUACCCGCAGAAGAAGCACCGGCUAACUCCGUG
This 490-nucleotide ribosomal RNA is filed under the name uncultured bacterium. RNAcentral's name for it is "partial 16S ribosomal RNA". It matches the Rfam family "Bacterial small subunit ribosomal RNA", at positions 30 to 507 of the family's 1533-position model. The record is from RNAcentral.